RNAcentral lists this ribosomal RNA (101 nucleotides) under Amblyomma sp. DEBE. RNAcentral describes it as "partial 12S ribosomal RNA". Lineage: Eukaryota; Metazoa; Arthropoda; Arachnida; Ixodida; Ixodidae. The record is from RNAcentral.
UUUCAUUGGAUCAAACACCUCAAUCUUACUCAUUUGUUAAGUCAAUUUGUAUACCACUAUUAUUUCAUUAUUAAUUUUAAUUUAUAUAUUUAUGCAAAUUU